CGGACGGGUGAGUAAUGUCUGGGAAACUGCCUGAUGGAGGGGGAUAACUACUGGAAACGGUAGCUAAUACCGCAUAACGUUGCAAGACCAAAGAGGGGGACCUUCGGGCCUCUUGCCAUCGGAUGUGCCCAGAUGGGAUUAGCUAGUAGGUGGGGUAACGGCUCACCUAGGCGACGAUCCCUAGCUGGUCUGAGAGGAUGACCAGCCACACUGGAACUGAGACACGGUCCAG
This 232-nucleotide ribosomal RNA is filed under the name uncultured bacterium. RNAcentral describes it as "partial 16S ribosomal RNA". It matches the Rfam family "Bacterial small subunit ribosomal RNA", at positions 99 to 334 of the family's 1533-position model. The record is from RNAcentral.